Molecule: ribosomal RNA, 450 nt
Filed under: uncultured bacterium
Lineage: Bacteria
Description: bacterial SSU rRNA
Rfam family: Bacterial small subunit ribosomal RNA
Source: RNAcentral
GUGGGGAAUAUUGGACAAUGGGCGAAAGCCUGAUCCAGCCAUGCCGCGUGUGUGAAGAAGGUCUUCGGAUUGUAAAGCACUUUAAGUUGGGAGGAAGGGCAGUAAGUUAAUACCUUGCUGUUUUGACGUUACCGACAGAAUAAGCACCGGCUAACUUCGUGCCAGCAGCCGCGGUAAUACGAAGGGUGCAAGCGUUAAGCGGAAUUACUGGGCGUAAAGCGCGCGUAGGUGGUUUUGUAAGUUGGAGGUGAAAUCCCCGGGCUCAACCUGGGAACUGCCUCCAAAACUGCAUGACUAGAGUACGGUAGAGGGUAGUGGAAGUUCCUGUGUAGCGGUGAAAUGCGUAGAUAUAGUAAGGAACACCAGUGGCGAAGGCGACUACCUGGACUGAUACUGACACUGAGGUGCGAAAGCGUGGGGAGCAAACAGGAUUAGAUACCCCAGUAGUCC